RNAcentral lists this ribosomal RNA (460 nucleotides) under uncultured Pelotomaculum sp. RNAcentral describes it as "bacterial SSU rRNA". It matches the Rfam family "Bacterial small subunit ribosomal RNA", at positions 925 to 1382 of the family's 1533-position model. Lineage: Bacteria; Bacillati; Bacillota; Clostridia; Eubacteriales; Desulfotomaculaceae. The record is from RNAcentral.
ACAAGCGGUGGAGCAUGUGGUUUAAUUCGACGCAACGCGAAGAACCUUACCAGGGCUUGACAUCCCCUGACCGCGUAUGAAAGUACGUUUUCACCCUCGGGUGACAGGGAGACAGGUGGUGCAUGGUUGUCGUCAGCUCGUGUCGUGAGAUGUUGGGUUAAGUCCCGCAACGAGCGCAACCCCUACGUUUAGUUGCUAACAGGUGAAGCUGAGCACUCUAGACGAACUGCCGUUGACAAAACGGAGGAAGGUGGGGAUGACGUCAAAUCAUCAUGCCCCUUAUGUUCUGGGCUACACACGUGCUACAAUGGCCGGUACAGACGGAGGCGAAGCCGCGAGGCGGAGCAAAUCCGAAAAAGCCGGUCUCAGUUCGGAUUGCAGGCUGCAAUUCGCCUGCAUGAAGUCGGAAUCGCUAGUAAUCGCAGGUCAGCACACUGCGGUGAAUACGUUCUCGGGCCUU